UGUUAAGAAUGCGUUAUAGAAUAGAAGAAGCAGGGAAAAAAAGAAAUAAUUUCUUUGUAGGUAUAUUGUGGUUCUUUGACAGUUGUCUGAAGGUUUUUCAGGUUUUGCAUUAUGUAAGCAAUUCUGAAGUAAACAGGACUUGUUAAGCUUUCUUUCAUGCAGCUCUGAUAACAUAUCUAUUUGUGCCAAAAUGGGGAGCAAUAAAAAGUUGGCUUUUCAUAAGACAGUAUGUAAGAAAAGGGUUAUAUUAGUAUGCAGAGUCCAUUUAUUCAUUACGCACUUUCUGAGAUUCGUGCCUCUAGAGACUUUUUUGUGUUCAGGCCAGAAGAAAACUCAGAUAUUUAAAAGAUAUGCAAAUUCUUUAUGGAAUAGACUCAAAACACCGAAUGAUUUCAAAAGUAUUUCAUGGUAUAUUAGAAGCCUGUAGCUAUGGGAUUACGCUAGAUCUAUCAGCAAGUAAUGGAUAUUCUAGUAAGUUUUUAUUUAUUAAUUUGGAAUCAGAAUUUUAUAUACCUUCCCUAUAAGUAAGCUAUUUAUAAUUAAGUUUAGAAUCUCCCAGGGGCCUUAGUGUACCAACAUAUUCAUCUAGAUCAUUAUGAACACAUGCAAACGUUCCAAAGCUGAUAGUGACAGGUUUCCAUAUUGCUAGCACGCUACCAAAAUCUGGUUAGAAAAAGAAAAAUGACAAGUUGUUGUAAUUAUAGUUCGAACAUUGCUGGCGAUUUUUUAAAAUAAUGAAUAGAAUCAGAGGCUAAAAAACAACAAACAACAACAAACAUAAUAAUCAUACCUGAUUUAGGCUGCGUAAGUCUAUUCUAAAACCUAAAUGAGUUUCAUGUGCUGUGGAGCUGAUUCUUACUAUACAGGAUUCAGUACAGAGAAGCACAUCUAAACCUGACCCGUGGCAUCAUUUACCCCACAUUUAUUUGCUUUUUCACUGUGCUGUAUUUUGGUGCUUUGGUGUCAUUGAACCUAAUUGCAGAUUAAUUUUCUUUGAUCCUGAAAGAGCCUCAGCUACAAAGGUACCAAAAUAAUGCUGUUAGGAUAUGUUCGUAAGAAAAUGAAUAUAAUUCUGUUACUUGAGUGAUAUGAAACAUGACUUUUCAAAGUAGUAGAGAUUGCAUUACAGAAAAUAAAUUGAGGAAGAUCUAUCAAUCUCAUGUAUUUUUCUGCUUUUUUGUCCUUUGUGAGUUCACAAGCAGGAGGAAUCAAAAUAUGGGAGACCAGGAGGCCAGUACAGCAUACUUCAUUGCCUACAUGAAGACUAACAAGCUUCUCCUCCAAUCCUAUGUGAGCCACCUGGAAACCAUUGAGGAGCAUGAGAACCCCAGUGUCAUCUCUAUUGGAGACGUUCCAGAGAAACUGUUUGAAUGUCUGUACUAGAAAGAUGCAUAAAUUUAUCCUGCAAUGAAUACAGAAGAAUAGGAGAUGGAGGAUAGGAGUUGACCUACAGAUCUGGUAAAUCCUCCAGCAAAUAUCCUAAUGAAAUCCCUGCUCAUUUUUCAUUCCGGAUUUGUCCACAGAGGUGCUCCAGCAGGUAAUGGAGGAUGGAAAGAAUACUGUUGAGCAACGAGAAGCAAGUGAGAUUAAGACUGAAAAUACUGAUUCUACAAGAACUGCUUGUUCAUGGGAAUACUGCUGCUACUUGCCAGAAAACCUAAAGAAGAAAAAUAAUGAAAAGGUGAAGCAAUUUCUCUGAAUUCACAGUAAAUCAGCAGACUAAGGGAUCAAAGUCAGAUUAAUAGACCGAGGACAAACACAACUGCAGGGAUCGGCCUCUUCUCCCAG
This is a long non-coding RNA of Tympanuchus pallidicinctus (lesser prairie-chicken), 1788 nucleotides long. RefSeq lists it as uncharacterized. The record is from RefSeq and is a predicted model, not a curated record. The transcript is spliced from 5 exons. Lineage: Eukaryota; Metazoa; Chordata; Aves; Galliformes; Phasianidae.